GCCGGAGUGGCGGAACUGGCAGACGCACAGGACUUAAAAUCCUGCGGCCCUUAACAGGUCGUACCGGUUCGAUUCCGGUCUCCGGCACCA
Molecule: transfer RNA, 90 nt
Filed under: Paratissierella segnis
Lineage: Bacteria; Bacillati; Bacillota; Tissierellia; Tissierellales; Tissierellaceae
Description: Tissierellaceae bacterium BX21 tRNA-Leu
Rfam family: tRNA
About the family: Transfer RNA (tRNA) molecules are approximately 80 nucleotides in length. Their secondary structure includes four short double-helical elements and three loops (D, anti-codon, and T loops).
Source: RNAcentral